This 167-nucleotide non-coding RNA is filed under the name Foraminifera environmental sample. The record is from RNAcentral. Lineage: Eukaryota; Foraminifera.
UGCAAAGAAGGUAAAGAGAAAUGGUAGAAAUAAGGGAAGAGGAGGAAAGAAACCAAAGAAAUCAGGAUGGUUCUCUGGCUUUUGGUAAUUAUCCAUUUUUAUCAUUUUAUAUCAUUUGCGUGCGAUUUUUGUUUUUUAUUUGUGUGAAUGUGAUCCAAAAAGUGUGG